AGUAGUUGGUGACAGUUUUCAGUUUUCAAAUACCCUGUCCAGUGUCUACAUUUCCAUUUCAGAAGCUGUAUUGAAAGGAGAGCAGGUCUUCCCUUUCCACUGGAAUGAAUAUAUUUGAGAAGCAGAAGUCCUCCUCUGCCUCCUUUAUCUUAAGAAGUAUGACUUGCUUUCUUCUGUUUCAAAAUCUUUAUGAGAACAUUUAGGAGGAAAAGAAUAAAACACACAGAUUCAUCCACAAUUCAUCCACCUCGGGAUCCUUUUGCAGGUUGGGCGCAAUCAACAAGCAAAAAAACGCUGGCAGACUCGUUUGACCCGUUCCUUCUCCACAGGUACUUAAGUUAGAAGCCAGCUUCUCCAAUGUGCCUAAACAAAAGAGAGAGAAAGACUACUGGAGACUGUGAAGGUUUGUAUCUCCUAAAUAUUGUGGCUAAAAAAUUAUUAACAUUUUAAUC
This 452-nucleotide long non-coding RNA is filed under the name Anser brachyrhynchus (Pink-footed goose). RNAcentral's name for it is "lncRNA (ENSABRG00000010921.1)". The record is from RNAcentral. Lineage: Eukaryota; Metazoa; Chordata; Aves; Anseriformes; Anatidae.